AGUUAUAUUAACUGCUUUUGGGAACAGAAGCCUUCUUACCCAUUGUGAGAUCCAUUUCACCUUCCUUUAGGUGUCUACGGAAUAAAUACCUACAGCUAGGGCUGUCAGCUAUCUAAGGCUGUUGCUUCAGAUUUCCACUGUGGAAGCGGGAUAGAAGAAACAUUGACACAGAGCUCAUCUGACCCACCUUCACCAGCAAAUACUUCAAAAGCAGAUGACUUGCCUACCAAAAAUAAAAAAGGACAAGAGAAGCUGUCUCUGUUUAAUGCAGCGAUCUCCAGAUUUAUAGAGUCUUUCAGUGCAAUGAAAAGAUGUUGCUUGGUCCUCAAUGAAUUCCGUGGAAGUACCAAAGGGAAAGAAUUCCCUAAGACCAGCGCUGCGUUGGUGAGCGGUCAAAACAGCUGCCUUAAAACAACAAAGACUUUUGUGGCCCUCUCCUCUGUCCCUUGA
This 450-nucleotide long non-coding RNA is filed under the name Calidris pugnax (ruff). RNAcentral describes it as "lncRNA (ENSCPUG00000011571.1)". Lineage: Eukaryota; Metazoa; Chordata; Aves; Charadriiformes; Scolopacidae. The record is from RNAcentral.